UCCGGUUUGUCACCGGCAGUCUCGCAUGAGUCCCCAACUAAAUGCUGGCAACAUGCGACGGGGGUUGCGCUCGUUGCGGGACUUAACCCAACAUCUCACGACACGAGCUGACGACAACCAUGCACCACCUGUGCACGGCCCUUACGGACCUCCCAUCUCUGGGAGAUUUCCGUGCAUGUCAAGCCUAGGUAAGGUUCUUCGUGUUGCGUCGAAUUAAACCACACGCUCCGCUGCUUGUGCGGGCCCCCGUCAAUUCCUUUGAGUUUUAGCCUUGCGGCCGUACUCCCCAGGCGGGGUGCUUAAUGCGUUAGCUUCGGCACGGAGAGGGUUGAAGACCUCCCCACACCUAGCACCCAACGUUUACGGCUGGGACUAC
Molecule: unclassified non-coding RNA, 376 nt
Filed under: uncultured Actinomycetes bacterium
Lineage: Bacteria; Bacillati; Actinomycetota; Actinomycetes
Description: uncultured actinobacterium contains 16S-23S intergenic spacer region
Source: RNAcentral